UACAGAGGUCUCAAGCGUUGUUCGGAUUCAUUGGGCGUAAAGGGUGCGUAGGCGGCGCGGUAAGUCGGGUGUGAAAUCUCGGAGCUUAACUCCGAAACUGCAUUCGAUACUGCCGUGCUUGAGGACUGGAGAGGAGACUGGAAUUUACGGUGUAGCGGUGAAAUGCGUAGAUAUCAGGAGGAACACCGGUGGCGAAGGCGGGUCUCUGGGCCGAUACUGACGCUGAGGAGCGAAAGCGUGGGGAGCGAACAGG
RNAcentral lists this ribosomal RNA (253 nucleotides) under uncultured bacterium. RNAcentral describes it as "partial 16S ribosomal RNA". It matches the Rfam family "Bacterial small subunit ribosomal RNA", at positions 524 to 776 of the family's 1533-position model. The record is from RNAcentral.